GAUGAAGAACGCAGCGAAAUGCGAUAAGUAAUGUGAAUUGCAGAAUUCAGUGAAUCAUCAAAUCUUUGAACGCACAUUGCGUCCGCUAGUAUUCUGGCGGGCAUGCCUGUUCGAGCGUCAUUUCAACCAUCAAGCCCUGUUUAGGCUUGUGUUGGGGCCCUGCGGCUGCCGCAGCCCCCUAAAUGCAGUGGCGGGCUCGUUGUCACUCCGAGCGCAGUAGCGUAUCUCGCUCUGGGCGUGGCGGCGGGUGCUAGCCGUGAAACACCCACUAAGGUUGACCUCGGAUCAGGUAGGAAUACCCGCUGAACUUAAGCAUAUCAAUAAGCGGAGGA
This 332-nucleotide unclassified non-coding RNA is filed under the name soil metagenome. Its description in RNAcentral is "partial contains 5.8S ribosomal RNA, internal transcribed spacer 2, and large subunit ribosomal RNA". The stretch from base 1 to 120 matches the Rfam family "5.8S ribosomal RNA", at positions 35 to 154 of the family's 154-position model. The record is from RNAcentral.